This 60-nucleotide transfer RNA is filed under the name Schlettererius cinctipes. RNAcentral's name for it is "tRNA-Glu". Lineage: Eukaryota; Metazoa; Arthropoda; Insecta; Hymenoptera; Stephanidae. The record is from RNAcentral.
UUUUAUAUAGUUUAAAAAACAUUAUACCUUCAAUAUAAAAUUAAUUUAUUAUAAAUUUAU